Molecule: long non-coding RNA, 256 nt
Organism: Calypte anna (Anna's hummingbird)
Lineage: Eukaryota; Metazoa; Chordata; Aves; Apodiformes; Trochilidae
Exons: 3
Source: RefSeq, a predicted model, not a curated record
UCAGUCCGCCCCCCAUGGCCACGGGUCCCUUCCUCCGUUCGUCCUCUCCCCUGUGAGGGCCUUGCAGUGGGCACCCACCCGCGCCCAGCGGGGCUGUGGGAGGGGGUUCUGUUUGAGGAGUGAGGAGAGCUCCACACGGGUUGGUCAUGGAGUCACCCACCCAGAACGAUGGAGUCCAGCGUUCUGCUGGAAACAGGGCCUGGGACACUUGGAGGAAGAAAAAGAAGUGGAGAUUUCAUUUCCUUAAGCACAGAAG